This 11031-nucleotide long non-coding RNA is filed under the name Canis lupus familiaris (dog). RNAcentral describes it as "lncRNA (ENSCAFG00000056868.1)". Lineage: Eukaryota; Metazoa; Chordata; Mammalia; Carnivora; Canidae. The record is from RNAcentral.
UUUCUAGCAUCAAGCUUUAUUAACAAAUGUCAAGAGUACAGGAAAUCAAGCGACAAAGCAGACAAAGGUCUGGGGCAUUUUUGUAAGGUCCUUUCUACCCCACCAGCCCAGGACAACAGAUCAAAAUUUCUGUGGGAGGUUUUGCGGAUUAUUACCUCACGGAAGAGGGGGCGUGUGUUUUUUGUGAAACAUCUUCAUUUUAUACCUCCACGAGUUGUGUAGGUUUGAUGACAUGAUCCUGGGAAGCCAUGUCCUAUAAAUCAACAGACUCUGGGUUUAUUUACUGGAGGCGAUUUUUACUUAGGGAGAUCCUGCUCAGGGCAUUCUGCAGCCAAGGCUUCCUCCUUGUGUCUAAAAUCAUCAUGCUCUUUGCCUCAAGUCCAGUUGACAAGAUUAGACCAUAUCACUUUUCUUCUUUUCUUUCCCCUCAUGGUGUUCCCCUGAUAGAGGAAGCAAUUUUCCUCUCUUUCGAGAGACUGGGUAUUCCAACCGGACAGCUUGGGCAAGAAUCCCGUCUGUCCCUCGGGCUGAAGGGACCAUGACUGACAGGCCCCUCAGAAGCACCUGGACUUUCCUAUACUUUGACCACUCUGGUCUCCUAUACUACUCCUGUCCAGACAAGACACGCUUAAGGCUCCUAGUGAUGCUGCUGCAACUUUCUUUUUUUUUUUCUUGAACGUGAUCUACUUCUCGACAGUUUCUAGCUGUGAAAAACUUUCCAGUUAUGUCUUGUGACUCAUGGAAUACAGGCAAGACAAUAAGCUGUUACGGCACAAAGUGGCAAUAACUAGGCCAAAUCUUGGAGUCGGUGGGAAAGAAAGCCAAAGAAAUGUGUAAUAAGGCCUCACAGGAAGAGUUUGAUUGGAGAAAUAAUACCCCAAGUAGGUAUUCUCCAUCCAAUUCUCGUUACGUCCGUACACCAUUUGCCUACAGAGAUUCUAACAUAGCAACUGAAUUUUUUUUAACCUCAGGCAGGGAACACAACUAUUUUACUGAUCUAAUAAUCCAGCAGGUACUUCUCGUUUGGCCAAAGCAGUCCCUAUUUUUAGGUUGCAUUUGAAGGUGUCCGAAUAGCCCGCCCGUCCCUGCCCUAGCAUCUUACACAGGCCUGCUUCAUUCAUGCCUGCUACCGUCUGGCCCUGUCAAUAUUUGAGGUUUUGAGCUAUGGUUUAAGGGCUUGAUGAUUUCUGCUAAACUGAAAACCCUUUUAAAAGAAUGUGUACUGUGGGGGCACUGGACUGGCUCAGUCAGUUAAGCAUCUGACUCUCGAUUAUAGCUCAGGUCAUGGUCACGGCCUUGUGAGAUUGAACCAGAGCCCCACACUGGGUUCCAGGCUUCUGGAAUCUGCUGGAGACUCCCUCUCCUUCUGCCCCUCCCCCUGCUCAUGCCGUGUCUCUCUCUCUCUCUCUCUCUCUCUCUCUCUCUCAAAUAAAUACAAUCUUAAAAAAAAAAAUAAAAAAAGAAUGUGUACUUUAAAUUGUUUUUGGUUAUUUACACCAUUGUGAAUGCUUUUCUCAACUGUUUUUCAUGGGAAAGAAGACUAGAAAAAAAGUCUUGACUAUGCUGGUAAGACUGGAGGAUAAAACAGGACCAAGACUGCAGUAAGCAGGUGCCUAUCCCCCAAAUUGAAGGGGGGGGGGGGCGCUCACUCUCCAAUGACACCUCCAGCUCCAGCAGCUCUGAGUGUCACCUCCACUUUCACGCCCCGUGUGACUGACUGGCUUGCUCCCUUGUCCUGGCACCAAAGGAUAAGGGUAACGUUUAACCAGAUUCGGUUUCCGUGACUUGCAGUGAACUCACCCGGAUGAAUGCCCCUGCCCCCCACCGUGAACUGGGUGACUUGCUCCACCGGGAGUGCCCACAAUAUUCUGGCCAUGCCGACCCGUUCUCCUGACCCUUGCUUCUACCCCCUUACACACCCAGAGACACCAGCACUCCGCGAGCACCAGGCUGCAGUACUGUCCUCUUCACUGCUACAUCUGGCCCUGGCCCUGUGGGGUGUGAGGGAACGAUGAAGGAAUGUGCUCGUAGCAUUAAGCAGCCCAUUCCUCCCAUGGCUUGGGGACACUUGUGAAGUCCCACAUCUGCCAAAAUACCUUGCCCUUGCCAUAGACUGAUGGCAAAUUUCAGCAAAUUUUUAUUCUAAUUAUGAUGUGAUUUUUCACAAAUUUGCAUGUAAUUUCAGCAUUGCUCACUCCCCCCCCCCCCCCCACAUGUGUUCAAAAAAAAGCACUGAGCUACAUUUGCAAGUGAUGCCUUACGCGUGCUUUGCCGCUCGGUCUCCAGCAGGGCCAGCCUCCUUGACCCAAUUAGACUUCUCCACUCCCACAUGGCUAGUAAAUACAAUAAUUAAUUUAUAAGGAACUCUGAAACACCAGCUGGCAAAGAUUCCCUAUUCAUGGUUUGCAGAGAACGGAAGGAGAAUUUAGGUUGUAGGGGACUCACGAAGCGUGCGUGUCUACUCACAUCAUUUAACCCACCGAAUUUCUGAGAAUGUCAAAUUUCAAGUGUACUAAGUAAACAACGUUUGAUAAUUUAUCAUCGAUUUGCAGAAAAAAGAAACCAGCGUGACAAAAUACUCAAGAUGUAUUUGGGGAGUCCAAGAGACUUUGGAUACCUAGGAAUAUUCACACACAUCCUAAGCACUUUAUAAACUAUGUUGUUCUUAAGAGAAUGUUGAGAAGAAGGACAGUCAGCUUCAAGAUUUCCCCAUGCUUCAAGGUAGAGGCACCAGCACCGGCCAUCUCCUAGAGCACUGGCCCGGCCGAGAGCCGUGGUAGGCACAAUUUUAAGGCGGCUUCCAAGAUUCUUCCUCCUGGCAUACGAGUAUUAUGCCCCUCUCUGAAUGCAGCCAGAACCUGUGACUUUGACGGGAUGCCACUCCUUGCAUCCGGCUACAUUACAUGGCAAAGGUGAUGAAUGCAUUUCUCCCGAGAUCACAUUGCAUUCUGUAAGACGACAGUAGUCGUAGUGGUGGCAGCAGCAAGUAAUAAUAAUAGUGAUGGUGGUAGUGGCAGCAGCAGCACCAGAAAUAGCCUAUGGAGACAUUCUCUUGCAGGCUUUGGAGAAGUAAACCCCAUGUUGUAAGAGGGUCAAAGGCUUAGGACCUAAGGGCAGUCGCUUGGAGCUGGCCCUGGCUGACAUCUGGCCAGAAAAUGAGACUCUGUAGCUGCAAGGCACUGACUUGUGUCAAAAACCUGAAUGAGCCUGGAAGAGGACUCUGAGCCUCAGACGGAAUUGUGUACCCGUGGAGUAACUUCACUGUUGUCUGGUGAGACGCUGGGGUCAGACCUCUGACCGACAGAUACUAGGAGAUCAUAAAAUAGGUUGUUUUAAGCUAAGUUUGUGGUUGAUUGUUACAGAGCACUAGAAAACUGACACAAGAACCAACUGCUUUUUCUUUUCUCUGAGUCCUACCCUUUCCCCCUCUGCCUCCCAGCAGUCAGGGUUGUACAGUACAUCAUGCUCUUGACUGCCUGACCUGGCGGACGGGACCAAGGGCCUCUGUCUGGAAAUCAGAAGUCGGGGCCAAGAGAUUCUCAACUGGAAUCUCUUGAAUGGAAAAGAGAGAUAAAGGUGUAUGCUUUCUUAACACUGCCUCCGGGGUAUACGAGGCUCUGUGCAAAUACUUGGGGGUGUGCUGGUGGAAGCCAUCAAUAGCAAUAAUUUGAUUAGAAAAGUCAUGACAAAAAUCACAGGCCCACGUGAGGUAUAGCACUUUACUGACAAAAAUUUAGGGCAAAAAAAGGUACUAACACAGAUGUUUACUGUCCAGUCAGUGCACAUGAAAACUUUUCCUAGUUUCCAGGAUCUACUUCUUACGUUAUUUACUGUCAAGGAGACCAUUCCUGGCUAAUUUCAUAUAUCCAUCCUGCUGCAAGGAAAAGGUAGCAACACUAUUAUUAUUCACAAUGCUAUGGCUCUUUGGAACCUUUUAAAAUUGAAACAGUAUAGAUCUUCUGGCUUCUGCAGUUCCCUAAUGUCAUUUAUUGAAUUCUGAUUAUAUCAUCACUCAUCUCCUGGCAACAUCCAUUGUGCUGCCCUUGAAUAAUGGUUUCCAAUGACUCUCAAAUGUUGUUAAUGGGCUUUGUCAAUGAUGACCACCAAUGCAAGUCUUAGCCAGAGGAUGUGGGAAUAUGUAAACAAUUACUCUGUUUUAUGGUCAUGUUAAAUCAUCAUUUAGAGGUUUAUAACAUUUAUUUAUGGAGUUUCAAGCAUUAACAUAGAACAACACAUCUUCCGACCAGGUCUUCUCCUGAACUAAUAAGCCUUGAUCACUGCACUGCUAGAAUGUGACCUUUCUCAUGUUGACCACAAUCCUGCCUCCACCCACCAGUUAGCAGUACUAAGGAUAGAUGAGGGGCCCUGGGCAGAGCAAGAAGGGCAGUAAGCCAUAUCUAUCCCUUGUCCCACAGGGCUUAAGACCAACCCAGGACAGCAGAAUGUCACCACACUGAUUAAAGGCAAGAAAUGACUUUAAUAGGAAGGGGCCAUUCACUUUGCAGUACUAGUCUAGAAAGUUCUAGGAAAGGACAAGAAUGACCAUGACCAGGGUUUUCUGACAUAUAGCACAUAGCUUACAAAAGGGUGGUAUGACUGCCCUGGCCACCAACAAUGGGUUGAGGAGGAACCCCAGAUCAAAGACCUGUGAGCUACUCAUAACUCUCUCAGUGGCUCCUCACCAGGUGGCUCCUAGGUCUGAAUACAAACAGGUAAGCACCUGUGUACCACCUCAUACAGGCUGCCCACGGAGGAUGGUGGCUAGCCCAGGUCCUGAACCCAUUCUGUGUCCACAGUAUUGAAAAUCACCCCCAAAACAGUGAAUCAGUCUCAUUCUCAUGGCUGAACAUUGGUGCAACUCCAUGGAAAAAAUACUGCCCUUGUGAUGGAAUGAGCACUGGGAAUUAUAGAAGACAGAUGGAUCACUGAUCUCUACCUCCUAAACCAAUAAUACACUGUAUGUUAACUCAUUGAAUUCUUUAAAAAAAACUUUAAAAAUAAGAUAAGGACAGACUGCCCUGGCCAGUGGCUCACCAGGAAUAGACCAUGCAGCCCGAGACCUACCCCCAUAGGUAUAAGUCCCAGAGCUUGUCGGGCACCUGGUGGGCUCCGAUGACCGUAAGAGGGAGUUACUGUCGAGAGGACUUUGCGAGGGAGAAAUAGGAACUGAGGCCCAUAAGGUCCAGGUCCAGGUGUAGAGUGUCCCACCCAGAAGGGCUUUCUGACCAGGCCAAACCCACCAGCAACAACAGAAUAUUUGAGGGCUUCCAUUGCCAAGACCCAUACUGAAACUGGGUUCUGGCUCCAGGGUACCAGAGGGGUCCUAGAAUAUCUGGAGAAGGUUCUCCAAAGGGUGGGCCCUUUGUUAUGAGCCCUGCUUGUUCACGUCUAAGUCAGUAUGUACUCCUUCUACCCAUCCCGUAAAUGAAGCAACAGGGGAAGUUGGUCUACGGAAAAGAAAGAACCAUACUCAAACAGAGAGGCAGUGACGAGAGAUUGGCGAAGAGUGCCAGAUGCCCUGUCACUCUCCUGGAUUGGUGUUGCGCUCUUGCCCUGCUAGUCCAUCAAACACCUUCUCUUUAUAUUAGCUCCUUCCCCUUUCUAUUGGUUAAGCCAUUUCACUGUGAUGUUUGUUAUCUGCAAAGAGCUGUAGUGCAAUACCCAGAGCCAGAUUCUUAGCUUUGUGGAUGCAGGAACUCGACUUUAUUCCUUCCACCAGUGCUAAUUAACCUCUUGGGGAUCAACAUGCUAAGAGGACCCAUAAGAAACUGAUAUGCGUCUCAGAAUGUCAAUUUACCAAUCUAUAAAGAGGGCUAAAUCUAAAAAAAAAUAGUGUGUGUGGAGUAUUCACUCUGGGUGUUUUGCCACGGUAGCGUCAGUGUACUCAGGAGGAGAAAAAUCACUCAGAGGCUUGUUCGGUGAGCAUAAGCUUAGAAGAAAGAGAAUGGGUGGUCUGGAGGAAUUUUUCUUUCAAGUUGGGAUACUUGAAAUUCCUUUUCUGUUCUAGGAAUAUUUCUCUUUGACAAGUUAGUUGUAAUCCCUGAACACAAACAGCCCUCCCUUCUGGUCAUUACCAGAUAUAUUCUUACGUCUUGUUUCAUUGUUAUCUCAGACUUACUGUAAAUCAUCUUUCUGUUGACAUACGAUGCUCACAGAAAACGUUUACCAACUACACUUGAUUGACUUUGGUACAUUAACUGGAUGUCAUUCGCCAGCUCUAGCCUUUAAUGGAAUAAUGAUAGCCAUCACUUAUUGAGUUAUAGUUAUCAGGCACCUUAAAUGAGUUAUCACACUCCUUUUGGUGAUUCUGAAAUACAGGUGCCAUUAUCAUCAUCUUUACUUCCUCCACGAAGAAACAAAAUAUGGAUCAAGCAAUUCGCCUGAGGUCACAUAGUUAACAUGUAGUGGAGCUGGGACUGCAAACCAAGAAAUCAGACUUGAGUCCCUGUAUGUUCACCACAUGUUACGUUUUACAGCCCUUCAAGAGGUACCUACCGUUUUAAACCUCGAUUUCCCAUCUGAACAAAGCUAAUAGUAUCUUUCCUAAAGAUUGGGAGGAUUCUAAAUGUUAUCACGAAUAUAAAGCUCUUACCACACUACUGAAUAUAUGGUGACAAAUAAAGAGUAGCUUUUAUUACCUGUGAAAGAAUUCCCUCAGGCAUAUGGAUUGGCUUUAGGAGAUCUUUGUUCACCUUCAUGUCAAAACUACAAACCAGAUGCUAGAAUGAGUUGAUUUUAUUUUCAGGUGGCUAGUUUAAUCAAUUGCAUGCUAAUCCUUCCAACCUCACUUUUAAAUCGUAUUUUAUUACUCCAUUUCCAAAUUCUGAGGACCUUUCUGGAGGGUAGAGCCACCCUCCCCUCUGUCCUGUAAUAUCUGCACAUAUUGCACUAAACCCAGCCACCACUUCACACCACGCCACAACGUCGCCUAAUGUCGCUGCCGUACUUGUAACCUAAGGAGUGAAUUUUACUUUCCACAGGUUCCCAGAUUAAAAUUAGGGAGUUUCUUAGGUAUGAGUGUUAAAUCCAGUGACAUUUUAUUUACUUAAAUUCCUUGUUCUUUUGUUUGAGUAAGACCUAUUUAUUUCAAGAGCAAACGUUUUUAUAGUUGCUUGUUAAGUCAUAAUUCUAGAUAUUUUAUAACACAAGGAUUUAUGUACCAUAAUUAAGGAAAAAAACUCUGGUCAACUAAAAAAAUUUACUUUAAUAUAUCUCAAUUAUGACUCUUAUAGUGAAUUUAUGAUUUGGAACUUUAUUAAAAGUUAUCUUCCGUUCUUUUUGAGUAGCAUUUUUUCCCUGAAUGUGAACUGAACAUGCAUAAACAAGAUCGUUGAUUUAUCUGGACUUUUAGAAAAUUCUCCUUGGAUCUACAAAUGUAAACCUUAGAGACUGGAUCAUUGCCACCUUAGACUCUCAAUUCAUUCUAGAACCAAGAAUAGAUCUUUUCUUAACAGCUUUGUAAUAUGAGUUAAUAUAAGUUAUGGUAGACUCAAUAUUAUAGUUGUAAGGGAGCUCAAUUACCAUUAGGACCAGAAGGUACCCACUCACCCGUGAUACUCACCAUGUCAAGGGGGUCUGUGAUCAUGCCCUCUGCCACUCAAGUUAGUAGAAUAUUUAGCAAGCAUCUACCUGAAUGAGGGGAUAGGUGAGCUAGGUAAAUCAAAAUAUUUUUUAAACUUUUUCUUUUAAAAAAAAUGCCCAAAUGGUAAAUGUGCAGCUCAAUGGAUUUUUAGGAAAUAAAGAUACAUAGGUUUUGCCUGCUUUUGAACUUGAUGUAAACAUACAAGUUUCAUCUGGCUUUUUCAGUAUUAUACUUUGGAGUAGCAGCCACACUGUUUAAUGUGGUUGCAAUUUAUUUUCAUUUCUAUAUAUAAUAUUCCAGUGUGUGAAUACGUGACUAUUUUCCAGGGUAUCAUUAAUAAACAAUUGGAAAAUUCUAGUUUGGGGUUAUUAUGAAUGUGUGGCAAUGACCAUUAUUAUACACAUCUUUUGGUGAACAUAUGUGCAUCUCUGUUGGGAAUAUACUUAGGAGUAGAAUUUCAGGGUCAUAUGGUAUACGUAUGUUCAGACUUAAUAGAUUCUGGACAAAUGUUCUCUCAAGGAGAUACAUCAAUUGACACUUUCACUAUGUAUAAGAAUGUGUAAGAAUUUGUUGUUCCACACCCAUCUCCGACACUUGGAAUUGUCUGAAUUUUUCAGUUUAAUCAUUCUGAUGAAUAUGUAGUAGUGAUUUGCAUUUCCUUGACUUGCACUGCCAGAGCCAAGAUAAAAUAAGACCACGACUCUUUCCUGCUGAUUGCAGCUAAAAGCUCAGAUCAAAAUACAAAAAGCAACCACCCAAGGACUCCAAAAAGUAAACAAAAAUGGGCAGAUUGGGUUGAAUCAAAAGUUGGAGAAAUGCCCUCUUUGUUUUUCCUAUUUUCUCCCACAGCUUUGACCUGAGGCCCGGCAUCUAGUAAAACUAACAGCAGCACAGGUAGCAGAAACUAAGAAAAAUCCUGUCUUUCGAGCCAGACAAAUUGAGAGAAGGGGUUUCUGUGAGUCAAAGUUGGUCAGGAAAUACCUGGCUUUUUUUUCCCCCCUCUCCUUUUCUCCCUCUGGGCUUUGCCCUGAGAGCUGGGGCCUAGGCUCAGACCAAGAGAAACCCUAACUUUCCAAACAAGAGAAAUAGGAAAGGAGGCCUCUGUGGUAUGAAGAAUAUGGAGGGAAUCCACAUUUUUUUUUUCUCUCACCUCUUUGCCCCAGUGUGGGCCCUAGUCAGCAGCUGCAGCUAUGGAAGGCAGCUAGAACUCCAAGAAAAAUCUCCUAUUUCUGGCAGGAGGGCCAGAAAGAGGUUACUCUGCAAAAGAGAGAACAUGAGUAUCAAAAGGGGAGAUCUGUAGAAGGGGACCCCCUAAUUCUAUGCAUAAACCCACAUAAAUGGUUCUCACACCUGAACUAAGAAUUUGCAGAAAAACACAAAGCUGUUUAGCAAAGGUCUGUGAAAUGAACUACAAUUUAAACUACAGUAGCCUCCCCUUUUCAACCGGGGAUACGUUCCAACACCCCCCAGAAGAUGCCUGAAACUGCAGAUAAAACUCUAUAUAUAGUGUUUUUUUCCCUCUGCAUUCAUUGCUAUGAUAAAUUAUAGCUUACUUUAUAAACCAGGCAAGAACAACUAAUAAUGAAAUAGAACAAUUCCAGUAAUAUACUGUAAUAAAAUUUAUAUUAAUGUCGUUUCUCACUCUUAAAGUAUAUUUCUGGACUUUACUCACCCUUUUUUUUAGAUUGUAUUUAUUUAGAAAGCGCAUGUGCAAGCAGGGCGGGGUUGGGGGCUGGGGGUAGGGACAGGAGAAAGAGAAUCUCAAGCUGACCCUGCCCUGAGCCCAGAGCCUCACAUGGGACUGCAUCUCACAACCCUGCGAUCAUGACUUGAGCUGAAUGCUCAACCAGACCAGCCAUCCAGGCGCCCCUCAACCUUUUCUUUCUAUGUGAAAUGAUAAAACGCCUGUAGGAUGAGAUGAAGGGAGGUGUAUAACAGGCAUUUGUAAACUGUCCGAGGAUGAGUCAGAAGGAGAAUCAUCUGCUUCUCAUAGUUGAUCACAGGUUAACUGAAACCAGGGAAAGCGGGCAGCCCAGGUGGCCCAGCGGUUUAGCACCUUCCUUGGGCCUAGGGCGGGAUCCUGAAGACACAGGAUGGAGUCCCACAUCGGGCUCCCUGCAUGGAGACUGCCUGCUUCUGCCUCUCCCUCUGCCUGUGUCUGUCAUGGGGAAAGCAAAACCGCAGAUACCAGGAAUUAACGUACUGCCCGAGCUCCAAAAUAAUGCUGGGGUGCUGCCCGUAUAGGGCAGGCUCCAAGCAGAAUAACGCCUCUGAGAGCUGAGCUGAAAGGGACCAGCGUGCACGGAAAGUGAGACCGAAUUUGAACUUGUGGAUCUAAAUCAAACUGGACCCACCGCCUUUUAAAACCGAACAGGGCAGCACCGGUAGCCCAGCGGUUUAGCGCCUGCUUUUGGCCCAGGGCCUGAUCCUGGAGACCCGGGAUCGAGUCCCGCGUCGGGCUCCCUGCAUGGAGCCUGCUUCUCCCUCUGCCUGUGUCUCUGCAUCUCUCUGUCUCUCAUGAAUAAAUAAAUAAAAUCUUAAAAAAAUAAAAUAAAACAGAACAUCAGUAGUCCCCCAAAGCCUUUUCACAGGAACCCAGAGUCUACGCAACAUGAUAUACUCAACACGUCCAAGAUUAAAAAACAAAAACAAAACAAAACACACACAAUUACUCAAGGCCACCGAGGAUCCAUCCAUCUUCAAAGUGAGAACACAUAACCAGUUCUCAAGGCAGAAUAAGAUCAGUAACAGCUGCCACCUGCCAGCCACCAGGUGAGAAGCCGUUCUUGGGACCAGCAGUAGCGGACGACGUCUUCCCUCCAGGCGCCUGCUGCGACCUUAGGAAGGAAGCCUCGCGCUUGGUCACCCCGUGCCUAAGAGCGUUCGCGGGAGCGUCGCUGGGACGGAGGCGGGACGACGGAGCAGCCGGACACCUGCACGCACGUGCUGCGGCCUAAGAGGAACCUGGGGGUACCUCGCCGGGGGGGGGGGGGGGGGGGGUAGGUCUGCGUAUUCUACCACCGACUAUCCUUGUAGUUUAUAAACAAACUAAUUUUUAAAAAAAAGAAAAGAAGAAGAAGAAACCGGGCAGCCCGGGGGAUGCUCAGCGGUUUAGCGCCACCUUCGGCCCAGGGCCUGAUCUUAGAGACCCGGGAUAGAGUCCCACGUGGGGCUCCCUGCGUGGAGCCUGCUUCUCCCUCUGCCUGUGUCUCUGCCUCUCUCCUCUAUGUCUAUCAUAAACAAAUAAAUAAAUCUUUAAAAAAAUAAUAAAAAAAUAAAAUUAAAAAAAAAAAAAAAGAAAACACAAGAGAGCGUCCCUCCCCUCGGAGAAAAGCAACGGGUCAAAGACACAAUUCCAACAACACUGGCAAAUACCCCGGUUCCACGCGCAUAAGGGUUAAGGUGCUGCAACUACGCAGGUGUCGAAAGCAGCGAGUCUCUAAAUGACG